UCGUAACACUCGAGGCGAACUCAGUUUCGUCCUCUGCUCGUAUCUUCUGACAUCAUAACAUCGAAGAUAAUCCAUGGGCUAAGAUAAAAGAAAUCGGUUAGGAACCUUCUUACUAAGAAUGCUCUUCCUAUCUUAGUACUAUUCUGUCACUCCUCAUUACUACACUCCAACAAUCUCAAUCUCAUAAGUAUAGCACUACUCAUUAAUCCUACUCUCGACUUGUCGCUCAUAUAGAACUAAACUACAUCAACAUACAAACACAUAGAUAUGCAUACACAUAAGCAAUAUAAAUCCCAAAUUAGUCCUUGGAAAAACUAAUCAAGUUUAAUAACAUCUUUGCAAUCAUACUUAAAAACUUUUUGUUAAAAAAAAUCGGAAAAUAUUUUUAGUUGGGGAAAAAUUGCCAAAAUUUAAUUUAGAAAGUUAAAGACACAUAAUAACACAUUCUUAAAUCCUUUAUCCAAUAAUAAUUCACAUUAACAAGUUAUUCCACUUUAUAACAUUCUUGACAAACUAAACUCUAGAUUUCUUUGUUGAAAAAUUACUACAAAAUUACAUGUUAAGCUCACAUAAUACACAACAGCACAAAUAUGUGAUCAAACGACUCUAGAAAAAUCAAACUCGGCUUCCCCUUUUUCUCAUCACAUUCGAUCAAGAUCUAAAUCCUUACGAGUUGGUUCGUUUCGUCUCAAAUCGCAUACAUAAGCUCAAUUAAUCAUCAAAUAGUCAUAUAUAAUCAUAUUCAACACAUAACUCUUCACAUAUGAAAGAUCUCAUACAAACGCGCAAACUAAACUCGGUGAACUUUCACAUUUCAUUAAUAUUUAUCAAUUUAAUCAUGCUAUAAUUCUUCAUAUAGUCCAAUUAGCAUAUAGACAUCAUUAAUCCAAACAUUGACCUCAUAAAUCAAAAAUACCCAAUUCCUAGUAAACUAAACUCAAGCAAGUUUAUACAUAUUCAUCAAUUAAUCAAAUUGAUCAUUAAUAAAUAGUCUUAUCAUGCUUAUAAUCAAUUAACCUUAGCCAAUUUAAUCAUUAAACACAUAAAUUAAAAAGUCCCAAUUUUAAGUAAACUAAACAUUUUGAAAAUCUUAAACCAUGCAUGAAUCAUCAAUAAAACUUUAGAUCUAUCAAAUUAGCCCACUUAAUUACAUAUAUAAACCAUCAAUUAGCAAAUUGAAGCAUAUAAGCAAAUUUGCCCAAAUUCUAUCAACUAACUCACAUCAAAACUUCACCAAUCGAUCUCAAUCAUCAAUCCAAUCCAUUAAAUAUCAUAUUAGCAUCCUCAAUAACACAUAUCAAUAACCAAUUCAUCAUUAAUCACAAGAUCAAAAAUUCCACAAAAUAGGUAAACUAAACUAACUCAAAUUCCACAAUUCAUUUUAAAUCCUUUCUUCGCAUUUAGAAAUAGACUCAAUAGGAUCCUAAUUGCUUAAAUAUUACCUCAAUUUAAGAAAAGAAAAGGAUUUUUUUUAAAGGGCAUGAACCCUAAUUUUUGAAAAUUUGAAAAAUAAAAGAGAUGGUGUUUUUCUUGUUUGAUUCAUCAAUACACACACAUAUACAACACCAUAAGGUCUAGAUCUAAGUAGAUUCAUCACUUACUCAAAAACUUCAAUAAAAGUAGAGACUUUCUUGACUCAACUCUUGGAACUCCUUCAAUCCUUGCUCUUGAUUAAAGGGAAAUGAUGUUUAGACUAGAUUUUAGUGAAGAUCUUUGGUGUAGAAUUGAUCUUAGAAGCUUGGAAAUGAUCUUCAAUGGUGGUAGUGAG
RNAcentral lists this long non-coding RNA (1768 nucleotides) under Salvia miltiorrhiza (redroot sage). Its description in RNAcentral is "long non-coding RNA (SMIL_LNC007148)". The record is from RNAcentral. Lineage: Eukaryota; Viridiplantae; Streptophyta; Magnoliopsida; Lamiales; Lamiaceae.